Molecule: unclassified non-coding RNA, 256 nt
Filed under: plant metagenome
Description: partial contains small subunit ribosomal RNA, internal transcribed spacer 1, and 5.8S ribosomal RNA
Rfam family: 5.8S ribosomal RNA (bases 208-256)
Source: RNAcentral
UUUCCGUAGGUGAACCUGCGGAAGGAUCAUUACUGAGUGAGGGCCCCUCGGGGUCCAACCUCCCACCCGUGUUUAACGAACCUUGUUGCUUCGGCGGGCCCGCCUCACGGCCGCCGGGGGGCAUUUGCCCCCGGGCCCGCGCCCGCCGAAGCCACCUGUGAACGCUGUCUGAAGUAUGCAGUCUGAGACAAUUAUUAAAUUAAUUAAAACUUUCAACAACGGAUCUCUUGGUUCCGACAUCGAUGAAGAACGCAGC